GACGAACGCUGGCGGCGUGCUUAACACAUGCAAGUCGAACGAAGAGCGAUGGAAGCUUGCUUCUAUCAAUCUUAGUGGCGAACGGGUGAGUAACGCGUAAUCAACCUGCCCUUCAGAGGGGGACAACAGUUGGAAACGACUGCUAAUACCGCAUACGAUCUAAUCUCGGCAUCGAGGAUAGAUGAAAGGUGGCCUCUACAUGUAAGCUAUCACUGAAGGAGGGGAUUGCGUCUGAUUAGCUAGUUGGAGGGGUAACGGCCCACCAAGGCGAUGAUCAGUAGCCAGUCUGAGAGGAUGAACGGCCACAUUGGGACUGAGACACGGCCCAGACUCCUACGGGAGGCAGCAGUGGGGAAUCUUCCGCAAUGGACGAAAGUCUGACGGAGCAACGCCGCGUGAGUGAUGACGGCCUUCGGGUUGUAAAGCUCUGUUAAUCGGGACGAAAGGCCUUCUUGCGAAUAGUGAGAAGGAUUGACGGUACCGGAAUAGAAAGCCACGGCUAACUACGU
Molecule: ribosomal RNA, 509 nt
Filed under: uncultured bacterium
Lineage: Bacteria
Description: partial 16S ribosomal RNA
Rfam family: Bacterial small subunit ribosomal RNA
Source: RNAcentral